Molecule: long non-coding RNA, 353 nt
Filed under: Homo sapiens (human)
Lineage: Eukaryota; Metazoa; Chordata; Mammalia; Primates; Hominidae
Description: BEAN1 antisense RNA 1
Source: RNAcentral
GGCACCAGCUGAGAGACAGAAUUUUUGGAAGAACUUAGGAAAGAAACUAAGAAAAGACAACAGCACACAGCAACAAGCUUUCCCAGGGGAGCAACAUCCAGGUCUGAGUGACACCCACUGUGGCCAUGUACGUGUCUGCCGGACACUGCCUUGAGCCCACGGGGCGGCUCCCAGGGGCGUCUCCCCGACACCUCCAGCUCCCUUCCUGGGCAGUGCUGUGCAGCGGGGCAGCCUGUGGGUGCCAGGUCAGGCUGCCUGGGCUCAACAGUCAUCCGGGCCUCUCAUGUCACCGAGAACAUUAUGGUGGGCGCCUGUGAGCUCUUCCUGACCACCCAAGACUUCUAGGAUGCUUU